GUCAAGCUGACGAGUCGCAAAUAGGACGAAACGUGCGUCUUGGAU
This 45-nucleotide non-coding RNA is filed under the name Schistosoma mattheei. The record is from RNAcentral. Lineage: Eukaryota; Metazoa; Platyhelminthes; Trematoda; Strigeidida; Schistosomatidae.